AAAACGGCCCUUCUCAGGGCCACCCAAACUUACUUAGCGGUCGAGG
Macrostomum lignano is the source of this 46-nucleotide non-coding RNA. The record is from Rfam. NCBI's taxonomy places the organism in Eukaryota, Metazoa, Platyhelminthes, Macrostomidae.